GAGUUUGAUCCGGCUCAGAGUGAACGCUGGCGGCGUGCUUAACACAUGCAAGUCGAACGAGAACGGCUCUAGCUUGCUAGAGUGUCAGCUAAGUGGCGGACGGGUGAGUAAUGUAUAGUUAAUCUGCCCUUUAGAGGGGGAUAACAGUUAGAAAUGACUGCUAAUACCCCAUACACCUUUUGCCUUAAUGGUAAUUGGGAAAUGUUUUUUCGCUAAAGGAUGAGACUAUAUGGUAUCAGGUAGUUGGUGGGGUAAGAGCCCACCAAGCCAAUGACGCCUAGCUGGUCUGAGAGGAUGAUCAGCCACACUGGAACUGAGACACGGUCCAGACUCCUACGGGAGGCAGCAGUGGGGAAUAUUGUACAAUGGGGGAAACCCUGAUGCAGCAACGCCGCGUGGAGGAU
RNAcentral lists this ribosomal RNA (404 nucleotides) under uncultured prokaryote. Its description in RNAcentral is "bacterial SSU rRNA". It matches the Rfam family "Bacterial small subunit ribosomal RNA", at positions 9 to 409 of the family's 1533-position model. The record is from RNAcentral.